Long non-coding RNA from Carlito syrichta (Philippine tarsier), 193 nucleotides. RefSeq lists it as uncharacterized. The transcript is spliced from 3 exons. Lineage: Eukaryota; Metazoa; Chordata; Mammalia; Primates; Tarsiidae. The record is from RefSeq and is a predicted model, not a curated record.
AUUCACUUUGCAGUAGUGCCAUCUACCUAGCAAAAUAUUCUGUGCCAAUAAAAUCAUCUGAUAUGGACUACUUCAAGAUAAUGGAGAACUAUUGCAGGGAUUCAGUUUAAGAACACUGUAACCAAUGUCUUCUGAAUUGGCAGAGCUUAGCUUCAUAAAUGAAUGUUUAUUAUCAAAGGGUAAUUUUUGCCAU